Molecule: long non-coding RNA, 1299 nt
Organism: Clupea harengus (Atlantic herring)
Lineage: Eukaryota; Metazoa; Chordata; Actinopteri; Clupeiformes; Clupeidae
Source: Ensembl
GGGCCUUGAGAGGGGCUCAGCGUCUCCUUGUAGGCAUCUAACCACGCGCUCAGUCUCUGCUGUAGGGAGGGAGUGAGGAGGGAGUCCAGGAGGUCCUCCAGGAGAUGGGCGGCGUGGUGCACGAGGGGGCCGUGUGUGUGUGCCACAAGCGGGGUGUGUGUGCGUGUGGGCACGCCUCUCGGGUCUGUGCAUGAAGAUUUGUCUUGAGCACGUGCAGCUAGCAUCAGACAGCUGACCGUGUCAGUCAGACUAGACUGGGCGGGGCUAACACACACCAAUAGAAGGGUGUGGGCGGAGCCAGAUAGGGAGUUCUGCAGCAAUCUCAUCAGCGGUGAGUGUGUGUGUGUGUGUGCGGAGGUGCAAUGGAUUGAUGGAUAUGCAGCGUAUCGAUGACCGGUUGGUGAGUCUGAACCUGAAUCUAACCGUGUGAGGGGAGUGCAUGGCGUGUGCGCGCGGCUAGGCGGGGCGCGGGAGGGGUGUGUGUGACUCCGCGGGGUGGCGUGGGGGAGUGUGUCCCGCUGAAUCAUGUCGGCUAGAGUCCUGAGCUCUGUGCCGAUCUGGAGGGAGCGUUUGAAUCUGGGGGUGCCGGCGUUCACCAGUCCGGAAUCACGCUCCCAGCCGGCCAGGUCCACCAGCAAUAGUGUGGAGAGCAACGCAUCCUGGGAACUGCUGUCUAAGCGCCGCCUGAGCCGCAGCCAAAAGAGUGUGUGUGAGGACGAGCGCUGGUGGUUCACGUCAGACACACACUCCAGGACGUGUCGCAGAUCUUCCAGGGAACUCAGUGGGAUCUCCACAGCUCCUUCCACCCCUGAAGACACACAGGGAAACACAGACAGUUACACACACAGUGCUGAGAUCCACACGUCAUACGGCCAUAUAUUACCCAGACAACUUUAUAAUGGUGCUACGCCAUCUAACCAUACCUCUGAAUACUAUGCAUUUCAGCAUUGAUAACAUUACAAUAGAACACUCGAUGACUUUUGAUAUGAGCAUAUGUUGAAAUAAACAUACACUGGCACACAGCCUAGCUACUGCUGAGAGGCAUGGUAAGAUGGCACAGGUAAGAUGGCACAGGUAAGAUGGCACGGGUAAGAUGGCACAGGUAAGAUGACACAGGUAAGAUGGCACAGGUAAGAUGGCACAGGUAAGAUGACACGGGUAAGAUGACAGGUAAGAUGGCACAGGUAAGAUGACACGGGUAAGAUGACACAGGUAAGAUGGCACAGGUAAGAUGGCACAGGUAAGAUGGCACGGGUAAGAUGACACAGGUAAGAGACCACUCAGAACACAGCAAUGAGG